RNAcentral lists this non-coding RNA (24 nucleotides) under Rattus norvegicus (Norway rat). The record is from RNAcentral. Lineage: Eukaryota; Metazoa; Chordata; Mammalia; Rodentia; Muridae.
UUUUGGCUCGUAGAUUCAAUUGUU